GAGGAGGCGUGAGGCGUGUGCGCCUCCGCGGCGUCUCCACGGAGCGAGCGGGACGCGCCCUCCUCCUCGGUGGGAGGGAGGGGGGUCACCUGCGGGGACCAGGUAUCCGAGGGCCACCCCUAGACAGUCAGCCUGGCCCGAAGGAUGACCAGCCCCCGGUAAAUAGAAGGGGGCGAAGCCAGCUCCGAAACCUUACGUUCGCUGUCCCUUGUAAAGACCCUAGAGGCAGUGAUCGGGGAACGCCAAGGAGAAAGCGGCAGAGGGGAAACCACAGUAGAGAAGUUUGGUGUGCAGAGGGUUGAAGUGUGCUUUUCCAAGGUUAGAGGUUUUUAAACCUUGUGGCUUUAAUGGGAACGUAGUUUGCCCUCUGCUCCUCUAGUGGAAUUACAUGGACGGAAGAGGAAAUGCAUUGGCCGGCCCAGCUCACCGAGUCUCUGAGGCAUGCUGCGAACGUUGCAGAGGAAGCCAGAGAGAACCUUGCCUUCAAGGAAUUUAGGCUGUUGGGGGAUAAUGCGAUGCUGUGGCCAGUGUCCAGGACACUGCGCUAGAGUUUGCAGUAGUUUUAAUAUGCUUGACCACCCACGAACUGUGAUCUUAGAAAAGUCACUUGGGUUAGGAGUCAAAGGAUUUAAAGCCCACAAAGCCUGAAACGUAAAUCCUAUACACAUGCACGCUAUUACUUUUCAUAUGAGAAAGGAAAAUAUAAUCCGUGUUCCACAUGAUUAUGUAAAGACUGGAAUUGAUGUACAUGCAGUAAAGACUAAAAUUGUGACGAGAUCAUUUAGCAGAAACCACUACUUCAAAAUAGGACCUCAAACAGUUACCUGUGUAAGUUCAGGACUGGUUGAGCAAAGGGAAAGGAUUAAUAUGAUUGGAGAUGUAAAAUCAGUGGAAUUUUUGGCAUUUCAGUAAAAUGUCUUUAUCAGCUGGGUGUGGUGGCUCAGCCCUGUAAUCCCAACACUGUGGGAGGCCAAGGUGGGAGGAUCAUUUGAGCCCAGGAAUUGGAGAGUUGGAGACCAGCUUGGGCAACAUAAAGACCCCGUCUCUAUGGGAAAUUAACCACCUCUCAAGUGGUGCUGAGGUGGGAGGAUAGCUUGAGCCUGGGAAGUCAAGGUUGCAGUGAGCUGUGGUGACUCCAUUAUACUCCAGCCUGGGUGACAGAGCAGGACCUUGUCUCAAAAGAAAACAAAAAAGCCCUUAUUAGUGGCAAACUAAAUAAGCCUCUAACCCGUCUUCAAGUAAAGGAAGUUAUGAUAGUAUUUUCAUUUAUGCAUUUUAAGAAACUUCGACUGACUAUGGCCAGCAACUGGGAUAGAAAGAUGGACAUCAGCCGGCUGUGGUGGCUCACGCCUGUAAUCCCAGCACUUUGGGAGGCCGAGGUAGGCGGAUCACCUGAGGUCGAGAGUUCAAGACCAGCCUGACCAACAUGGAGAAACCUCAUCUCUACUAAAAAUACAAAAUUAGCCAGGUGUGGUGGUGCAUGCCUGUAAUCCCAGCUACUCGGGAGGC
Molecule: long non-coding RNA, 1509 nt
Filed under: Homo sapiens (human)
Lineage: Eukaryota; Metazoa; Chordata; Mammalia; Primates; Hominidae
Description: HSALNT0298200
Source: RNAcentral